Brassica rapa (field mustard) is the source of this 4929-nucleotide long non-coding RNA. RefSeq lists it as uncharacterized. The record is from RefSeq and is a predicted model, not a curated record. NCBI's taxonomy places the organism in Eukaryota, Viridiplantae, Streptophyta, Magnoliopsida, Brassicales, Brassicaceae.
UUAUUAUUUGACUGUUACCGCAUUUGGUAGUUAACCAGUCAUAAGUCACCCGCAAACGCACCAAUUUUAACCGCAGUACCAGUCGUACAAAUCUCUUAAAACCGCUAGAAACCGCAACCGCCCGCAUCCACAAACUCCCGCAACCGCAACCGCAACCGCUGCGUUUGAACCAGUCAGACCCUUAGUCUCGUCUAUUUAACAGUUGUAUCUGCUUCUUUGAUAGUGUUCCAAACAAAAUCUGCUUCUUUGAUUUUCAGUUUUAAAAUUAAUGUGUCCUUUUUUUUUUGCAUGAAUGAUACGGUUUACAUUAAGCUUUUUUCUUUUAACUGAGUUUUUUUUUUUUUUUUUUAACACAACUGAGAAUUACAUUACGCUUUUUCUGCUAUGUUGUUACCACAUUGUCUCUCUAGAUUUUCCCAUGCACCAAACAUUCCAAACAAAAAUUACAUUUUUAUUAUUUUUCAGAAGUCUAGAAAUUAAAGAUCUUUUUGUACGACAUUUUGUUAAAUCCGUUAAAUUUUAAGAUAAUUUUGUAUCCUGCAGAAACUAAAUUCUAUAACUAUUUUGCAAAUUUAUGGCUACAAUAAACUACACAGUUUGGAUAAAGCAUCUACAUAAAUCAUUUUUUUAUCUUCCAGAGGUAUACUGAGUCUAGCAGAGCUUUCCUUUACAUCCCAUGGCAACCAUUUCCAACCAAGUUGCUAUAAGUUCAAAUUUAAUUUAUAGUGGAUUUUGAAACUUCAUAUAAAAAUUAAUAUGCACUUAUUCUCCUGAUUAAAUUUACAUAAGUAUUUACCUCUAUAUCUGUGCAUGUAUAUAUAAAGAAUCUCAUUUUUCGUGGAUAUAGUCUUUGAAUAUUGUGUUGCUAUAAUGUAUGUACUUUAAGAAAUAAAAUAUUUAAAAUGGUCAACUUGUCCAUAUAUUUACUUCAUUUGGUUUAAAAGAUAAGAAUUAAUAGAUUGUUAACCAUACUUGGAAUUAGGUAAGGAGUGUACGUAUAUUUGAAGUGGACAUGUUUUGAAGUGUAGAUAAAUAGAAGUUUAAAUCAAGUUUACUGAAACACACGCACACACACACACACACACAAAAUUAACUUGAAUUUUCUGAAGUUGUGUCGUUAAAAGAGCUAAAACUUUUGCUUUAACAAAUGAAAUUUCUUAUUUGUCUUUUGGCUCUAUCAUUUUUGAAUUUGACGGCUAGUUCAUCACGUGUCUCUCCUCAUGGUUUAGAACACAACCAACCAAAAGAUUUCAACAUUGAUAUAGUAAAGACAGUGGUGGUUGGUCAGAGUGGUGCAACUGACUUCAAAACCAUCCAAGAAGCCAUCGACUCCGUUCCCUCUGGUAACAAUAACUGGAUUAAGAUUCAGCUUCAAAACGGAAUCUACUUUUAACCUCUCAUCUUCACUCUUUCUUCUUUUAUCACAUAUAGUUUAAUUAUGAGAUGCAUAACACAAGAAAAAAAAAGAAUCAAGCAAGUUGAGUUUACCAGUGUACGUGUGUUGAUGCAGCGAAAAGAUAGUGAUUCCGCUGGAGAAACAAAAGAUAAUAUUGCAGGGAAACAACCCAUCAGAAGUGAUAAUUCAAUAUAAUGAUGCAGGACAAGCCCAUUUGUGUGGUCCGAUGCUCGUUAACGCCGAGUACUUCGUUGCAAUCAAUGUUACAUUCAAGGUCAGGGUUUAAAUAAUAUAGUUGCUAUGAAAAUCCAUGUUUUAGGAUACUGAUUAAUUCAAGCUCUGUUAAUUAUUUUCGUUCAUAAGCUAUCUUCAACUAGAUUUGUAUGUCUAAAGCCCGUGAAUAACUUUUGCAGUAGUGAUUUUUUUUUUAACAAUUGACGGAUGGUGUACUUUUAAGCUCGUUUCAUUUUUUUAUGGAGAUUAGUUGGAUUAACUUUUAUACAUGUGAUAUCAUAUGAAAUAAUUCUUGUAUAAUAUUGUGAAACUGGCAUCUUGUUUGCGCAGAAUUCUUAUAACAAUAUAACAUCAUCACUAGUACCAUAUAAAGAGGUAAAGGUAGCUCCAUCAAUUGUACUAAUGGCGGACAAGGCGUGGUUCUAUGGCUGCAGUUUCAUCAGUGUCCAAGACACACUGGCUGACUUUGUCGACCGUCAUUACUUCAAAAACUGUUACAUCGAAGGAGCCAUUGAUUUUAUAUGGAGAGGAGGCCAAUCUAUAUACGAAGUAAUUUCAUAUUUAUAUCUUUCAUAAAUUUUGGUUGCGUAUAGAUCUGUUUUGAAUAUUGUCUUACAGAAAAUUAGACCUUAUCGGCCCAUAAUUGCCAAAGGAAUUACUAUAUGGAAAUGUAUUUGUUUGUCAAUGUAGAAAUGCGUGAUAUAUGUUAAAGGAAUGACAAAAGAUGAAAUGGUGGAAGGCGGAGCAAUGUUACCGGGAUUCAUAACCGCGCAAGGGAGGCAAAGCGAGCAAGACACAAGUGGAUUUGUGUUCAAAUACUGCGUGAUAAAAGGAGAUGGAACGGCGUUCUUGGGAAGAGCUUACCGAGGCUACUCUAGAGUUGUCUUUUAUGCAACCAGCAUGUCUAAUGUCAUUGUUCCUCAAGGAUGGGAUGCUUGGCUUAAUAAAGGCGAAGAAGAUAAAAUUACAUUUGCGGAGGUAAAUUGUACGGGAGAAGGAGCGAAUAAGCAAGGAAGAGCUGCAUAGCAGAAGAAUCUUUCUGCUACAGAUGUUGAUUUUCUUGUAAACCCCAACACUUUCAUUGAUAGAGAUAGUUGGAUCUUCACUCUUCCUUAUUCUCUUGUUUCUUUAUAUUCACCAUCUUCCAUUCAGUAAGCGAUCCAUAAUUUGUAAUAUUUUUUCCUUUUACAUUUGUCGUGGGAAUCAUAUAUAAUAUUUUCUUCUUCUAAGUGAAUUAUUGAGGAAAGCUUGAUUGUAUUGAUUCACAAGGUAAUGUAGUUUUACAAAGUCAUUGAUCUAAUGGUCAAUAAUAUGUUAUAUUAGAUAACUACAAUAUGAUAUAUAUCCUUAUCCGAAUACUAAGUUUUUCUAUUAUCUACUGAUCAACAUAAAUACUAGAUUUACUUGAUAUGCUAAUAGCCUAAUAUCAUAUUUUUAAGAUGUCAUUUUGUUACAAUACGGAAAUACUUUUUGUCUCUUGUGAAUAUUCAUCAUUUCCAAGUGGUCGAUCCUCACCAAUUCAAAAAAAACUUCGCGCAGAAUGUUGAAUGCUAAAACUCUGCAUGAAGAGAUUUUGCGUAUCAUAUUAAUAUGCAUAUGGGAUUAGAGCUCCUGUUAUUGUCUCUCUUAAACUUUUCAUUUUGAAACAGUUAAAAUAGGGGUGUCAGCUCAGGUUGGUCCGGCCUGGGCUGGCCCAAACCCGCUAAGUCCGUAAAUAUUUGAGUCCAGCCUGGUCCGAUCCGAAAAUAUUUUGGCCUUAAAAUUCAAAAUCCAGCCCAGUUCUUAUAGGGCUAGGGCUUUUCGAGUUUUUUUGGGCUUUUCGCAAAAUAAUUUGCCAUUGUUACUUCUAUCGUUUUAAUACAUGUGAUUUUUUAAUAAAAAUAGUUUUAUUUUUUAUUUUAAAAUAUAAAGUAAUUUUAAACUUUUAAUCUUUAUCAAAAAUGUUUUACUUUUUGGUAUGCUUUAAAAACAUAUUAUAAACAUACCAAAUUUAAUAAGAUUUAAAUGAUCAAAUAUAAACUACAAUUAAAAUAUAAGAGAACAAAAUUUAUGAUAAACAUGAUCAAACGUUUUUUACUUUGUAGUUUGAAAAAAAAACACGUUAUACAUGAUAGAGAAGAUACAUUUGCAAAAUUUAAAAUGGGACACUUGUAAUGAUCAAACAAUAAAGUACAUUAACAACUUUUAUAUUUGCUUUAUUAAAGUUUCGAUUAAAAUAUUAAAAUUAUAUGUCAAUACUAAUAAUAGUUUUAAUUGCAAAAACGAUAAUAUUUAAGAUAAAAUAUAAAAUUUUGGGUUUUUAGGCCGGUCCUAGCCCAAACAGGUUUAGGCCCAAAAAACCCAAAACUCAAAUGGGCUUCGCCCGAAAGACCCAAAAAUUUUUGGGCUUAUAAAACUAAGCCCAAAUCUAAUAAUUUUUAAGGAUAGACGAGCUCGGACUGCGACCUUCGGCCAUAAUUAACAUGUCUAAGUUAAAUCAUAUUCUUACAUAUAACUUUUGAUUUUAGUCGAACUUUUAGUCACCCAAAAAUAUAUGCUUCUCUUGGGUUUUAUUAAGGUGGUUUUAGGGAAAGAAUCUAAAGAGAAUAUCUGAUCCAAAAUUAAGAAAAUAAUAUAUCUACAUUCUUUUAUUUUUUUAUUUUAUAGAAAUUAAUAUAGAAUAUAAAUAUUCGCAAUUAAUUAAGAUAUGUUUCAUAGAAUCACAGAAUUAUAAAGCAAUAUAUAUUUUUGUAUAACACUAGAAAUAUUAGCAGUUAGUUGUGAAAUAGUAGUCUCUCUUAAAAAAGUAUGUACUAAAAUCUUGGAUAUUUGGUUUGAUUUCUUACCAUUUGAAAGAGAGUCUCAAUUCCCAAUCAAUAAAGUUUUGUCUCAACUCUCAAUCAAUCCCCUCAUCUAAACUCGCACGUACAUACUAACUUGCUUGCUAUGUUGUGACUUUUGAAAAACAUGGGAACCCAAUUAAGACCAGAUCCAUCGGAACAUGUGGAUCACAUAAUAGUUGAUAAAGCUUAACAGAGUUUAUAGUGAUCGUGGGGAAAUGGAUUGGGUUAUACUUACAUAUUCGGACUUCAGGGAUACCUCGCAUUGUUCAUGCGUCAAAAUCAAGAGGCUAAAAAGUUGAGUGAUUAGUUUUGUGUGUUUUUUUGUUUUUCUAAAAUCAAAAUUGAUCACAUAAUAAAGGUACAAAAAUAUGAUCCACCGAGCAGAAAAUAUUUCAAAACAACAAAACCUCACAAGCGUAAAAUCCCCUCAAACCCUCCCUUUACAGUCAAAUCGUCUUUGCCAAAAAAAAAAAAAAA